RNAcentral lists this ribosomal RNA (507 nucleotides) under uncultured bacterium. RNAcentral describes it as "bacterial SSU rRNA". It matches the Rfam family "Bacterial small subunit ribosomal RNA", at positions 28 to 507 of the family's 1533-position model. The record is from RNAcentral.
AGCGAACGUUGGCGGCGCGCUUAACACAUGCAAGUCGAGCGAGAACGGGUCCUUCGGGGCCUCAGUAAAGCGGCGCACGGGUGAGUAUCACGUGGGUAAUCAACCCUUCGGCGGGGGACAACCUCGGGAAACCGGGGCUAAUACCGCAUACGUCCUUUUCUCCCUCGGGAGGAUUGGGGAAAGAGGGCCUCUCCUUGGAAGCUCUCACCGGAGGACGAGCCCGCGGCCCAUCAUGCUUGUAGGUGGGGUAAUGGCCUACCUAGGCAACGACGGGUAGCUGGUCUGAGAGGAUGAUCAGCCACACUGGAACUGAGACACGGUCCAGACUCCUACGGGAGGCAGCAGUGGGGAAUAUUGCGCAAUAGGGGAAACCCUGACGCAGCGACGCCGCGUGGGUGAUGAAGGCCUUCGGGUCGUAAAGCCCUGUGGGAGAGGGACGAAACACCGGCGAAUCAAUACCUCGUCGGCCUGACGGUACCUUUCCAGAAAGCACCGGCUAACUCCGUG